AUUGAACGCUGGCGGAAUGCUUUACACAUGCAAGUCGAACGGCAGCACGGACUCCGGUCUGGUGGCGAGUGGCGAACGGAUGAGUAAUGUAUCGGAACGUGCCCAGUCGUGGGGGAUAACGUAGUGAAAAUUACGCUAAUACCGCAUACGAUCUAUGGAUGAAAGCGGGGGAUCGAAAGUCCUUGCGCUAUUGGAGAGGCCGAUAUCAGAUUAGGUAGUUGGUGGGGUAAAGGCCCACCAAGCAAACGAUCUGUAGCUGGUCUGAGAGGACGACUAGACACGCUGGAACUGAGACACGGACCAGACUCCUACGGGAGGCAGCAGUGGGGAAUUUUGGACAAUGGACGAAAGCCUGAUCCAGCCAUUCCGCGUGCAGGAUGAAGGCCCUCGGGUUGUAAACUGCUUUUGUACAGAACGAAAAGGUUUCUACUAAUACUAGGAGCUCAUGACGGUACUGUAAGAAUAAGCGCCGGCUAACUACGUGCCAGCCGCCGCCGUAA
RNAcentral lists this ribosomal RNA (500 nucleotides) under uncultured bacterium. RNAcentral describes it as "partial 16S ribosomal RNA". It matches the Rfam family "Bacterial small subunit ribosomal RNA", at positions 30 to 523 of the family's 1533-position model. The record is from RNAcentral.